UGGGGAAUAUUGCACAAUGGGCGCAAGCCUGAUGCAGCAAUGCCGCGUGAGUGAAGACGGCCUUAGGGUUGUAAAACUCUUUCGCUAGGGAAGAUAAUGACGGUACCUAGUAAAGAAGUCCCGGCUAACUCCGUGCCAGCAGCCGCGGUAAUACGGAGGGGACUAGCGUUGUUCGGAAUUACUGGGCGUAAAGAGUUCGUAGGCGGACUAGCAAGUUAGAGGUGAAAUCCCGGGGCUCAACCCCGGAACUGCCUCCAAAACUAUUGGUCUAGAGUUCGAGAGAGGUGAGUGGAAUUCCAAGUGUAGAGGUGAAAUUUCGUAGAUAUUAGGUGGAACACCAGUGGCGAAGGCGCCUAACUGGUCCGGUACUGACGCUGAGGAACGAAAGCGUGGGG
RNAcentral lists this ribosomal RNA (395 nucleotides) under uncultured bacterium. Its description in RNAcentral is "bacterial SSU rRNA". It matches the Rfam family "Bacterial small subunit ribosomal RNA", at positions 355 to 766 of the family's 1533-position model. The record is from RNAcentral.